UGGUCUCUUCACCACAUUACCUUGCUCCGUGCAAUAAGUGCAAAGUCAUGCACUGUCUUGGGUGCUUGUUCCUCCAAAGAGGAGAAACAUCGCCUUCGCGGUAAGUAGCUCGCUCAAGAGGCCCUGCUGGUGAAAGGAGAUUUCAAUGUAAAAUUCACUGACCUGACGACGACGACGAAGCGCCGGGCGCCUUGAGCGUUAUACUACAUACUCAUUUUCCCCGACUGACUCAGAGUCGCACAAUUCCUCCAACAGCUACAUAGCUACCCGCGCGCGUUUUUCUCUCUCUCUCAUAUCAGGACGGAAGUGCUCCGGACCAAUUUGGUUAAGUCAUCGCGUGACCAACCAUGACAAGAAGAAAAAGAAAAGAAAGAAAAAAAAAAAAAAACCAAAAAAAACCACGAAGCUGCGCACAAAUUCGCCUCGUUUUUUUCUGUCCUUAACCCUCGUCCGGGUUGGAAAAUGCUCUUCUUUCUACUUUCAGCUGAAGUCUGUCUGCAACAUGUCUCCGGGUCCGGUCUCCUACUUAGUGUAGUGUACAAUCCAUACACUACAACGCGGAGGCAAUCCACUCAUCCCCGGCCCCGGCUCAUUUACCCCACAUUGGGUUUUGUCGGCGAGCUCGGGGUUGGUGAAUUUUUGGUUGUGCAGAUUCGGGGUUUAGAGGUCCCGCUGUUAGUAGAAGCCAACUAGGGUGGGGAGCUUUCAAAGGGUAUUCGUGAUGAUGAAAGGGUAUUGGAUGUACAAGAACAACAAAACGCAUAUUCAGAGUUGUAGAUCAUUUGAUAUGGAACUCGGUGCACG
Non-coding RNA from Neurospora crassa OR74A, 804 nucleotides. The record is from RefSeq and is a predicted model, not a curated record. Lineage: Eukaryota; Fungi; Ascomycota; Sordariomycetes; Sordariales; Sordariaceae.